GUUUGAUUGAUGACUUCAGUUGUCGGAUACCCCUUCACUCUUGUUCCGAGUGACACAUAACAAUCUGACAAAC
This is a small nucleolar RNA of Otolemur garnettii (small-eared galago), 73 nucleotides long. The record is from Ensembl. NCBI's taxonomy places the organism in Eukaryota, Metazoa, Chordata, Mammalia, Primates, Galagidae.